RNAcentral lists this ribosomal RNA (157 nucleotides) under Halteria grandinella. RNAcentral describes it as "5.8S ribosomal RNA". It matches the Rfam family "5.8S ribosomal RNA". Rfam says of the family: 5.8S ribosomal RNA (5.8S rRNA) is a component of the large subunit of the eukaryotic ribosome. It is transcribed by RNA polymerase I as part of the 45S precursor that also contains 18S and 28S rRNA. The record is from RNAcentral. Lineage: Eukaryota; Ciliophora; Spirotrichea; Sporadotrichida; Halteriidae.
ACCAAAUUCUCAGCGAUGGAUAUCUUGGUUCCCAUAACGAUGAAGAACGCAGCGAAGUGCGAUAAGCAAUGCGAAUUGCAGAACCGUGAGUCAUCAGAUUUUUGAACGCAACUGGCGCCGGCUGGCCCUUCAGCCGGCAUGCUUGUUUCAGUGUCUC